Molecule: ribosomal RNA, 253 nt
Filed under: uncultured bacterium
Lineage: Bacteria
Description: partial 16S ribosomal RNA
Rfam family: Bacterial small subunit ribosomal RNA
Source: RNAcentral
UACGGAGGGUGCAAGCGUUAUCCGGAUUUAUUGGGUUUAAAGGGUGCGUAGGCGGCUGAAUAAGUCAGUGGUGAAAGACGAUUGCUUAACAAUCGAGGUGCCAUUGAUACUGUUCGGCUUGAGUACAUGAGAGGUAAGCGGAAUUGACUGUGUAGCGGUGAAAUGCAUAGAUAUAGUCAGGAACGCCGAUUGCGAAGGCAGCUUACUGGUAUGUAACUGACGCUGAGGCACGAAAGUGUGGGUAUCAAACAGG